GAUGAACGCUGGCGGCGUGCCUAAUACAUGCAAGUCGAGCGAACAGACCAGGAGUUUGCUCCUCUGACUUUAGCGGCGGACGGGUGAGUAACACGUGGAUAACCUACCUAUAAGACUGGGAUAAUAUCGGGAAACCGGAGCUAAUAGCGGAAAAUCUAUUGCACUGCAUGGGUCAAUAGUGAAAGACGGUUUUUGUGUCACUUAUAGACUGACCCGAGCGGCAUUCACUAGUUGGUAAGGUAACGGCUUAACAAGGCAACGAUGCGUAACCCACCUGAAAGGGACGUCCGCCACCCUGGAACUGAGACACAUUCCAGACACCUACGCGAGGAAGCAGUAGGGAAUCCUACGCGAUGGAGGAGAGCCGGACGGAGCAACGUCGCGUGAAUGCUGAAGGACUUAUGAUCGUAGAACUCUGUUAUUAGUGAAAAACAAAUGUGUAAGUAACUAUGCAGGUCUUGACGGUACCUAAUCAGAAAGCCACGGCUAACUACGUG
Molecule: ribosomal RNA, 497 nt
Filed under: uncultured bacterium
Lineage: Bacteria
Description: partial 16S ribosomal RNA
Rfam family: Bacterial small subunit ribosomal RNA
Source: RNAcentral